Molecule: non-coding RNA, 18 nt
Filed under: Arabidopsis thaliana (thale cress)
Lineage: Eukaryota; Viridiplantae; Streptophyta; Magnoliopsida; Brassicales; Brassicaceae
Also listed under: 3 other names
Source: RNAcentral
CCGUAGGUGAACCUGCGG